Molecule: long non-coding RNA, 556 nt
Organism: Liolophura sinensis
Lineage: Eukaryota; Metazoa; Mollusca; Polyplacophora; Chitonida; Chitonidae
Exons: 3
Source: RefSeq, a predicted model, not a curated record
AAAAAAAGUUUACGAAACUUGUGUUGUUUUGAACAAUGCCUGCAUGUCUUUCACUUUGAGCACCUGGUCACUCAUCCAUAGCCAUGUUAAUGACUACUCUGCCUGUGCACCGCAGGGAUCACAGAGUAGGGUGUUAAGACCUAUGGUCAGCAUGCUCUGAGGGAGGCACUCUCAAAGGGCGUGGGUGCGGUUGUUUUGGACUUCACUGACAGACAAGGGUCAGGGUACAGAAAGCCAGUGUCCUUGUUUUCAGCAGAGCUCUGGGACAUGUAGACACAGUAGCCUGAUAAGAAUUGAUGUCGCCUGAUUGGUGGAGAUAGUGAGCUGAAGUGAUUUUAUAACCAUUGUGUUGAUUGGUGGACAGCAACCUAUGUCAGUUGUGGCUCCAAAGUCCUACAAAAGAACAAAUUGUGGACGUAAAUGUGAUGUGGAGCAUUAGAAGAUACCAUGGAUUUAAAGCAUAAAUGAAUUUUUCCGUUCUUCAAACAUGCCACCUGAUUGUACAUGGUGACACAGUCGAUCAGAUUUGACAACUCCAAGUGAAAUUUCAUUUUAU